ACAGCUCUGCAAUUACAGGUUUCUACAUGUAAAUAAGAUCACAUCUUCACAGAUUGUUUAAACCUCACCCCAAGAUUAAAUACUGGAUUAUAUGCAUCAUACCUAUAUGCAAGACCAUCUUCUGUCUGUACUAACAGCAAAGGGAAAAUACAAAGUAUUUCAUCUGACAGUAGUGAAGAGGACAGAAGAGGAUGCUAAAUCCCUCAAGUAAUCAGGAGUUUAAAGUAUUUCUGAACCAGCACUUCCAUCUGACUCAUGUAGUGAUGAAUUUUCUCCAAAUGCAUCUACUGACCUGCUUUAAUCUUGUAAAGUAUACAUGGGUUUGCUUUCCGAGUGUGGCACUCACUGCUAAAAAUGUCUGAAUGCUGGGAGCAAAUAAACAUUUGUUUGUUUGUCUGUUUUACCCCCCGCUCCAAUUUCACUGACCCACCAAGAAGGAGGGCUGCAGCAGGGUGCUGGGGCAUGUGUUAAAAUUAAAUCAUCACUGCACUUCUCUGUAACAACUUCUCUUGGGCUAUGCGACCAUACUCUGUCAUAGAGUCAAGUUUCAUCUGCAAAAUAAUUAACAGUGUCAUACAAUAAACUACUGCAAGGGUGGUUUAGAAUAUAAUUUCUCCAGGUGUUAAAUUGCCCACCCCUGCGCUACUGUGGCCACUUAGUAUCCAUUCAACUCUGAACCACUUUUCUUCUCAAGCUCUUCCCCUCUGCCCCCAUUCCUCACCCUGAAAAAGCAAUACUGUUACCAAGGGCUGUGUCUGCCAUACACAGAAAAAAGCUGCUCUCUUUCCCAAAAUCCUAUCCUAAAAGUUCUUUUAAGGACUUGUUAAUAAUUUGAACUUUAGAAGUAUAUUAAUCGAGACUUACAGUGGUAAAUAAGUAAACCUGUCUUCAUUUCCCUCUCUCGUACAAAAACGGUACUGAAGUUUGAGAUUGCUGUGACAUUCAUUGUCUUCUCCACAUCCUUCUUUUAAGAACUCCACCUAAAUAAAACCAAACCAAUUUUACUGCCUGACACACAAUAGUAGCUUAAAAUCAGAUUUCUGAAGCACAUUGACUAAAGCAUCUACAUGGAACUCACAAGACACUUUCCUGGACAGAGCUCAGAUUUUAACCUGACUUAAUUCUUGCCUGUUGAGUUUUGCUUUGUGAGAUACAGCCCUUGAUGCUGGUAGUUUAGAACUAAAAAGCAGAGUUGGAUAAUUCUAAAUGAGAGGUCCGCUUCUUAUGAGAAAAUACAUCUUAAAAGUGUGAUUCUUCAAUAAGCAUUGAGGAAAUGAGAAUCUUUAAUGGAGAUACUCCCUUCCUUCUAUGUCACUUCUGCAGUCACUGCUCAAAUGCCAUUCCAGUAUCCUAACAGUGGACAAAUUAAGAGUGGACAUUAUCUGGUUAUGUUGGACAAAUGUUCCCAGGAGGAUCCAAUGAAUUUCUAUUUUUAAUCAAAGUACACUUCCUCCUUAACUUGCUGGGGAGAGGGAAGAAACCAAGGAGCUAUAUCAUCACUUUUGUUGCAGGAGAACACAGUACAGAGUUCCUAAAUGUUGUAACAAGUUCAGAAGAAAAGAUAAAAUAAUAAUCCAAUAGUUACAUGUCCAGUGCCACCCCAGUUAUUUCCUCUGGACAUAAUUUAGUUUUCUCCAGUCUUUAAAAUUAAGUUAUUUGUAGAAGUACAGAUUUUUGUGAAUAUAUGGUAUCAAAGACUUACUUUUGUGGUCUCUGUUUCAGAUUCAUUUGAAUUUAGAAUUGGUAUAAGAUCUGGAAGUGCGCUCUCUUUUCUCUUGGAUGGUGACUCCAGGCCAGCAAUUUUAACACUGACUGAUAUUGGAAUGGGACGUAGCUUAUCUUUAAUUUUUUCCUGUUAAAAUAUUUUAAAUUGCAUCAUUAGUAUACAGUGCAGAGAAUAAAAAAACAACAUGAAGAUGAGCUUUGAUACUGUAUAUAAAUUCAGCAUUUUCUAAACAUGCAGGAACACAAAGAGCCCAGCACUAUUGUCCUUUUUUUCCCUCUGGUUUCCCAAUCUGACAAUUUCUCUCACCAUUAAGAAUUGCUAAGAACCACAGACAGUACUUCAGGCAGGUGAAAUUCACACAGCUAUAGUAAAAUAACACACUGGAACAGGUUUGAGUAAUAUAGUCUAGUAAAAGGUGUCAACCCAAAUCAUUCUAUGAUUCUAUUCUAUUCAUAAAUUUAAGUUCUUAAUCUGCUGCGGUCAAAAUCAACCUUGGAGGCUGACUCAUUCCUGCUGAGCCAUGAAGAGGGAACGUGUUUAGCCUCUGGAGCAAUACCACCUCUAGGCGCCACUACAGCAGCCAAGUCCAGAGAGCACAUAUCAACCUUUCUCACCUUGUCCAUUCAUCCACACCAAAACCCAUGGGUUAAAAUUCUUUUCCUGAACAGUAACCUAAAAUUCUCUAACAAUUAUUUCUGUUGGAAGCAGCUCUCUGUUUUUGGCACUUAGUUGCUCUCUGUGGUUCGAAAUUAGUUCAGCUCCAUUGACCACCAGAGUGUGCUGCAGUGGCUAGUUUUUAUCCAUACUUUGAAAGAAAGGCAACAGGAGGAAGCAGCAUGUAUGCAGAGAAUAGUAAAAUAUGGUGGGUUUCUAUUUUUGAAGUUUUAUAUUGCAUAUGACUUUUAAAUUAUAUACAAAAUUAUAUACAAAGGUUCCUUCCAUGAGGCUGCCAAAAAAGAGUAUUCUUUUGCUUUAAGUGGAUCUAAAUGAAACAGAAAUAGAAUACUCUCCCUUACCUGCAGUAUAAGCUUUGUAGUCACACACUCCCAUGAGUUCUGUCCCCUGAGGGUUGUACUUGCAGUGAACUGAUCAGACGGGUGGUCACUGAAGCGCACCCUGGAGGGCAGGCCCAGCUGCCGCCUCUCGUUUUCCACUUCAAAUGUGUAAUUGAUCUCUAUGUGAAAAAAUAAAGUAGGUCACUAUAAAAAAAAGAAUCCUUGCCAUUUUAAAAAUAACUUUAAUUUCACAAGAUAUGAUCUUAAGCAUUAUUCUAGAAGACUGUUCCAGACAGUGCUGAGCUUCACAAACUGCAUUCGGUCAUUUAAAAAAAAUAAACUUUCUCCAUGUCAGUUUUGUCCUGCCACAAGUUGAGGGCCAGGUACCCUGUGUGUAAAUCUAAAGAAAAUUUCUAGACCAAAUCCUGUUAUUCCGGAACCUCAUAAACCGCUCCCUCGGGCAUGCGGGGCUGGCUGGGGGAGCUGUGAUUGCCGUACGGGGCCAGCAGAGGGCUGAGCUACCCACUGUGAAUAUCCCAACUGUGCUGCAGGGGAUUCCUGCAGGGUCCCCAACAGCACCUGAGAGCCAGCAGGAUUCUGAGUUCAAGAUACACCGGUAAUUUCAACACUGAAAGCAGAAGUGCGACUAGAGCUGUCCAGCUGUGUGCUGAGGCCUGCUUUCCUAGAUCCGAACUUGGUGCAUCGUUUAAUGAUUGCUUCACUGAGCUAAUUCAGUGCUGCACAGAUGGAAACAGCACCGAGUGUGCCAAGGCACUGAGAGCUGCAAGCACUUCACCUGCUAAAGGACCAGCUCUCAUUCGGGCACAGCCUUUGGAUUUUAAAAGUAACUGAGAAACUCAAGACAAUAUAGGAGAAAAAAGGUCACUGGGCUUAAAGUUCUUCUGAUUUCCUCUCAAAAUCUUACACAGUUCUCCAAGAGGUAGUAACAAGUGCUUUACAUCUUUAUGGCACAGUCUUCUAUUAAUGCAGAUUUAUUUCAGUCAAUGAUUUCCACCAAACCAUUUUCAUGAAUACAGGAUAGGUUAAUACGGUAAACCUCCAAAUAGAAAUAAUGCUCACUAAGGAUGUAUAAAAUGGGCCUUAAAAAAGGUUUAGAAUUCUCUAAAGCAGCACUAACCUAGAGAGGGAAAAUGGUUUGGAUCUGUAUAGAAGCCAUUUGCUCACUGGCAGUUGUAUUACUUAGAAAGCUUUAGUCUGUCAUCCACAGAACAGCUUAACACACCAGCACGACUCUAAAUACAGACUGUGCAACAGCUGAGCUUAGCACUGAGUCACAUUUUAAAUUUGUCAGUCACUGUCUGAGAUGAGUCACUAUAAUUUGAGUAAUAUGUUUCCAUGAUGAACUCUUAAGAAAAAAAAAAAAAAAAAAAACAUGUGACAAACAGAUCAAAAAUACUUAUCUUCAGAACUUACUUAUUCUUGGAUUUAAAUUUCUGGGGUUUGCAGUAUAUUUAAAACAUGCUUUCACAUCCAUCCUGUAAAAAGUGCCAAGAAAUUAGUACUAAUUUUUAUUAAGCCAUGUUCCAACAGAAUGAAAAGUUUUAACUUAUCAGUCUUAUGACUGUGGUAUUUACUGCUUACUAGACUGAAUUCUAAAGCAAGAAAAAAUGGUUAAUAAGCAAUUAAGCAUUUGCUCUAAUGUCUCUACUCAAAACAAAGCUGUUCAAGCCAAGAUACUUUUGUUAAAAGUCUGACGAGGCAAGGUGACAUUCAUUUUCAAAAAUGAACGUCAUGAGGACAUAUUCCAUACCUUGUCUUUAGCAGAGCAGCCUGAAGAAAUUCAGGAAGUCAAAAUGAACAUAUGCAGAUACAUUUGCUUAACCUGCAUGACUCUCAUAUCCCUUCACUUAAACAUGAUCACUGAAUCAAUUUCGACAGUAGUAAGCUCAAUACGCCAAGGCUUCUCAUAGAGUAAUUUCUAAUUUCUUUUUUUCAUUUACCUGAUUUCACCAUGGUCCUCAGGGUUCCUUUUCUUUAGAUCAAUUCUAUCAGGCUGUACUGUAAUGUUUCUUCUAAUGCUUAUCACAGGCCGAGAUCUUCAUUUGGGGGAAAAACGGGGAAUAAAAAGAUGUAAAAAAUAAGUAAUUUCUGUUAAUAUUAAUGAAAUUAUUAAUGAGAAUAUCAGAUUCCCUCCACACCAGCACUGAUUUCAACAAAGACACUCCAAAAAACACAGAGUUUGGCUUUGACACUGGUUAGAAAAAAAUCUGAAAACUAUUAAAAGCUAAGCAAAGGUCACUGAGAACAAUUACAGAUCCUGAGGGGGAAGCAGGCUACAGUAAUGUGAUGUUGCUGUUGUCAUUCUAUACACUUAUAAAAAACAGAAAAGUCAGUGGUGGCUUCUACCACCAGUAGUAAUUCAGCCCCUGGGAACAACUAUAGGUACUACAGUUCGUUCAGAUUCAUGUUCAUAAGAGCCUGGUGGCUGUGGGAAAUGGUGUUUCCUGCUUCUUCUGCAUGUAGGCUGUAACCAUACUUCUGCCUGACAACCUGUCUUUUCUCCUUCUGGAUGGGAGAAGACAUUUCACAGGAACAAAUGAAUGAGGUGACCCUGUUCUCAUUAAAGCAUCCAAAGGUUGUUUAAAGCAGCUGGUAAGCCACCUGCUCCAUGUAACUGGGCCACUCCUUUCACUGUUUGUCACUGUAAGAGGUUUUUGUUCUCAUCCUGGUAGAAGAUUUUGUCCUGCCUUUAUCAGCAAAAUAUUAAAGCUCCUUUUGAGUAAGCAGAAUGCUAAAUAAUCUGACCAACUUCUCUACCACCUACUCUGUUCUCUUCCACAAGCCAUGUGAGUUGCUGUUCUUGGGCGCCGUUCCAGUGUAUUUAAGAACAUUACAAUUAUAUGCACAGAUCCUAUACAGCUUAGAGAUGGGAGCAUAACAUUUAGAAAGGGCUGUUCUGCCUGAAAAGUAAAGCUGUUUAUCCCAAAGCCCUGGUGUAAUUAAUUAAGGUUCCAUAUAUAAUACCUGUACACAUUUACAGAAUCUGACAGGGAACCAACAGCAACAUCAGGGUAGGAAUUUUUAUCCAGGUCCAUAUUUCCAGCAAUAGAGUAACCAAAGAAAUUGGUGUUUGUUUUUUCACCAUCAAUAAUCUAAAAAGGAAACAGAUUGAGGGAAUUCAGACAUUUAAAAGUGAUAAAGGUAAAGUAAGUAACAAGUAAACAUAACUGUCUUACAGGCAAAGACAAAAGAGGGAAAGAGAUACAAUGAGGAAGGACCUCUGAAAUAGGACCUCUGUGCUCAGUUCAGCUAAAGGAUAAUGAAGUGCCAGGAUGAUUUGCUCUUCUUUCAAGAAGUUACUUGGCAAUAGCAGUGAGUACCAGAAAUUACUGAUCUGCCAAGAGCCUAGUUCAUCUUUAUUUACAGUAUUUAUGGACUAUCAACACUUGAAACAGAAGACAUAUUCUAUAAAGUAUUCAAGCAGUAUUCUACGGAGUAUAAUGAAGUUCCAUUCCCACUCUGCAAAUUGGACACAGUGACCCUCAAAACAAAACAAAAACACAACAAAAAACCAACCAAACAACAAAAAAAACCAACAACAACCAACCAAACAUUUUUAGGAAGGAAGUGAAACAAUAGUAAUGAAAGAGAAAACAAAGAAACUAAUUGUUUUCAAAUCAACAGAUUUAAAAAAAAAAAAACAAAAACCAUAAUUUAUCUAUACAUCUUUUUCCUUCUUCAUAUAUUACUGGUGCCAAUGGAUAGCCCCAGAAAUAAAAAUAUAUAUAUUAAUAUCAAGAAUUCUUAAUCUUUCCUGUCAGCAGUCCAAUCUUUAAAGGGCCCUGCAUUCCUGCUUAGCCAACACCCCAAUAAUAGCAAUGGAAAGGAAGAUGGAUAGUAGCCCUAUCAUUCCUUUAAUUUUGUUCAAGAAUAAUUAUAUAAUAAAGGUUAUUUCAUUA
Molecule: long non-coding RNA, 6641 nt
Organism: Taeniopygia guttata (zebra finch)
Lineage: Eukaryota; Metazoa; Chordata; Aves; Passeriformes; Estrildidae
Source: RefSeq, a predicted model, not a curated record